This 139-nucleotide small nucleolar RNA is filed under the name Setaria italica (foxtail millet). RNAcentral describes it as "Small nucleolar RNA Z247". It matches the Rfam family "Small nucleolar RNA Z247". Rfam says of the family: Z247 is a member of the C/D class of snoRNA which contain the C (UGAUGA) and D (CUGA) box motifs. The record is from Rfam by way of RNAcentral. Lineage: Eukaryota; Viridiplantae; Streptophyta; Magnoliopsida; Poales; Poaceae. RNAcentral also lists the same sequence under 1 other name.
AUUAUGGAUGAUGAUGAGAUGGUUCACUUUAUCUUGAAUGGUCUUGACUUUGACUACAAUCCUUUUGUGUCAUCAAUGCUUGGUCGUGUUGGCUUUCUCUGCUUGAGUGAUUUGUAUUCCCAGCUACUCACAUAUGAUC